RNAcentral lists this ribosomal RNA (494 nucleotides) under uncultured bacterium. Its description in RNAcentral is "bacterial SSU rRNA". It matches the Rfam family "Bacterial small subunit ribosomal RNA", at positions 20 to 507 of the family's 1533-position model. The record is from RNAcentral.
UGGCUCAGAUUGAACGCUGGCGGCAUGCCUUACACAUGCAAGUCGAACGGCAGCACGGGUGCUUGCACCUGGUGGCGAGUGGCGAACGGGUGAGUAAUGCAUCGGAACGUACCCGGAAGUGGGGGAUAACGUAGCGAAAGUUACGCUAAUACCGCAUAUUCUGUGAGCAGGAAAGGAGGGGACCUUCGGGCCUUUCGCGAUUGGAUGAACCCAGGUGGGAUUAGCUAGUUGGUGGGGUAAUGGCUCACCAAGGCGACGAUCCCUAGCUGGUCUGAGAGGAUGAUCAGCCACACUGGAACUGAGACACGGUCCAGACUCCUACGGGAGGCAGCAGUGGGGAAUUUUGGACAAUGGACGCAAGUCUGAUCCAGCCAUUCCGCGUGCAGGACGAAGGCCUUCGGGUUGUAAACUGCUUUUGUACGGAACGAAACGGCUCUGGUUAAUACCCGGGGCUAAUGACGGUACCGUAAGAAUAAGCACCGGCUAACUACGUG